GCCCUGAGGGAUAGCUUAGUUGGUAGUGCACGAGACUCUUAAUCUCAGGGUCGUGGGUUUGAGUCCCAGGUUGGGUG
This is a non-coding RNA of Podarcis lilfordi (Lilford's wall lizard), 77 nucleotides long. NCBI's taxonomy places the organism in Eukaryota, Metazoa, Chordata, Lepidosauria, Squamata, Lacertidae. The record is from the annotation of a GenBank genome assembly.